CUGUAUUGGGCUCUUCUGUUAGCAGAUUUUUCCUAAAAUGUAUCUCUUUAAAAAAAAUCCCUACUCCCCACGUGGUGAUUAUUGGAAAAGUUGGGAGGGGGAGGAAAAUAUUUUAGUCUAAGUGUAAGGGGUGUUGUGCUGCGAGAACACAGAAUGGUACAGGGCAUUCUCCUAAAGCGAUCCUCGCUCUCAGACUGCAGUGAUUUCCAGCAGGGCUGGAUGGGAAGGGAACGGUGGGCUCUGUAGUAACCAGCAUGUCUGGUCUCAACACGUCAGGCAAGAGGCUCGGGAUGUAGAGGAAUCACGUCUGAAAGGCAGACUGAGGUGCUCUCGGUAACUUCAGACUUCGGAGCCGUCCCCCCCCCUCGGAAACCACGGUCAGCAUCGUGCUCUGUGGAAAAGCCUGCAGUGGUUUAUCACCGGUGGUGGUUCUGCCCUAGACUCUCCGUCUACACAGUGAGCUGACGGUGACGGCGCUGGAGGGCAGGGGCGGAUGGAGUGGGGAUGUAUAGGGAGAGGCGAUCAACACGUGCCAUGGGCUCUCCACAGCAGAAAUAGCCCUGCAUGUGUGGAGAAAUAGACUGCGGAACAGCGUUUUGCUUCAUGGCCACCAACUCUUCUGCAAAAAGAGAAGCUCACGCGGAGGUGGAGGCCAAGGUGUGUGCGGCAGCCGUCUGGACAUCUGUGCGAUCGACGCCGACGUUGGAAGAGUCAUAGAGCGUGACUGACGACAUCCGGAAGGGGGGAAAAAUGUAGUUAUUGAACCCAAUCAACUGUUUGUGUCUCUGAAAUUAUCAACAACAUCCAGUCGAGGAAGGUUCUGGUCGGUCCCACAGACGUAUGGCUGUCCAAGGAGCCACAUAAAGGUACGAUUCUCUGCCAUACUUUUGGCUUUACAAGCAGACAAAUGUUUUAUGUAUCCACUUUGAAAUAUCUCCCUUUGAAAACCAUAAAGAUAGGCCUGUAAAUACAGGGUGUUUUUAAUGUUCUUUAAUUUUAAUAAACAAGCUCAAUAUAAAGUCAGAAUUUAUAGUCCAUUGCUAAAGAUAGACUCAAAUAGUCUUCUGUUAUUCAACUGCAUCAUCCCC
This 1088-nucleotide long non-coding RNA is filed under the name Canis lupus familiaris (dog). RNAcentral describes it as "lncRNA (ENSCAFG00040014295.1)". The record is from RNAcentral. Lineage: Eukaryota; Metazoa; Chordata; Mammalia; Carnivora; Canidae.